Molecule: transfer RNA, 75 nt
Filed under: Pajaroellobacter abortibovis
Lineage: Bacteria; Pseudomonadati; Myxococcota; Polyangiales; Polyangiaceae
Description: tRNA-Val
Rfam family: tRNA
About the family: Transfer RNA (tRNA) molecules are approximately 80 nucleotides in length. Their secondary structure includes four short double-helical elements and three loops (D, anti-codon, and T loops).
Source: RNAcentral
GGGCACAUAACUCAGCGGUAGAGUGCGACCUUCACACGGUCGAAGUCACAGGUUCGAUACCUGUUGUGCCCACAA